This 614-nucleotide ribosomal RNA is filed under the name uncultured organism. RNAcentral's name for it is "partial 28S ribosomal RNA". It matches the Rfam family "Eukaryotic large subunit ribosomal RNA", at positions 173 to 637 of the family's 3401-position model. The record is from RNAcentral.
UCAUGAGUUUAAGUCCUUUGAAACAAGGCAUCAUAGAGGAUGAAAAUUCCGUUAUUUUAACUCAUUGUAAACUGCGUACGACAAAUAUUCAAAGAGUCGAGUUGCUUGAGAAUGCAGCUCUAAAUGGGUGAUAUGUUUCAUCUAAAGCUAAAUAUAGGCGAGAGACCGAUAGCGAACAAGUACCGUGAGGGAAAGAUGAAAAGAACUUUGNNNNAGAGAGUUAAAAAGGACUUGAAAUUGUUAAGAGGGAAGCGCUGAAAAUCAGUACCAUAAAAUAAAAAGAAUAUGUUAUUAAUUUACUUAAAUUCAAAAUUGUAUUUCUAGCAAUAGGGUACAAUUUUUAACGGAGGAUAAGUUAAUAAUUUCCAUUCUUUUUAUUGGGUCAGAAUCAAUUCGAUUUGUAUGAAAAAGUUAGAGGGAAGGUAGGAUUGCUGUGUCAAANCNUUAAUCUGUUAUAGCCCUUUAAACCUAAUAUAAAUUGGAUUGAGGUUCUUCAUUAUGAUACGCNNNNNNNNNNCUUNUUUUAAAAUUGCUAUUUAAUUCUUAUGUNNNNNNNNNNUGAAUUGCUUAAUAUUUGAAUUGAAUAUUCCAGUUUUUUAAUCGUAUGUAUCAUC